AAACUUGAAAGAAUCAGAAACAUUUUCCCCUGAUUAAAAAUCAAACAAACACUUGCAUUCCUUGGUUUUUAAAACCAAAAGCGUGAAAGAGCAUAGCCAUUUUUCGUUCAAUUUCAAGACAUCAUCAAUUCAAUCCUUAAGCCAACAUUUUGUUCAAAACGUUAAAAGCAGAUUAAUUCAUCCAAAAUUUCAAGUUUGUCCAGGCAUGAAUUUCGUCCAUAUUUCGCAAAAAGCAGAUUCGUUCAAAUAAAUUUGGGAACAGGUAUGUUAGGGCUAUCCCUUCUUCCUUUUGGCAUGAUCCAUACAAUACGAAUGAAACGUGGAAAUGCAAAAAUUCCAUAAAUGACUCUAUUCAUAGAAGUAUUAGAGAUAUCUAUGUUCCUAAAUUUCCAUGUGUCAUAAUAUUUUAUCAUCUGUUCAUAAGUCUUAGAAAAAUAUGGAAGUUGAGAAAAAAAAAGUUUUCUUUAUGAUAUUGCUAAAGACAAAAUGGUUUUAUGAAAUCCUGAAAGAUUUUAUUAACGUACUUUUCAUGCAUUGCAUUCAUGUGCAUUGACCCAUGACCAGAUGGAAUUAUAUACGCGUAUAUAUGUAAAUAUAUGUAUAUGAGAUAUGGGAAAAAAUUACGGUGUUAUAUACGCACCACCACCUGAUCAGCUGGUAUAUGGUGAUGAUGUUGCCCACAGUGGCUGAAAUAUGAUUCAAACGACGUUAUAUACGCGUAUAUAUGUGUGUAUAUAUAUGUAUAUGGGAUAUGGGAAAGGUUAUGGCGUUAUAUAUGCACUACCACCUGAUCAGCUAGUAUACGAUGAUGAUUUUGCCCACAGUGGCCAAUAUGAUAUGAUGUGAUACCCUCAGAGGCUGAUGAUGUUAUGAAACAUAUACCUAUGCACGACAUGACAUUCAUACGCAUAUGCAUGACGCUAAAAGUAAUUUAUGAUUUACAAAGUUAUUCAGACUUACAGGUUGAAUCAUGUACUCUAUAUUUCUUUCAUGUCUUUUAUGUACUUAUUUAUGUGCCUUACAUACUCGGUACAUUAUUCGUACUGACGUCCCUUUUGCCCGGGGAGCUGCGUUUCAUGCCCGCAGGUCCCGAUAGACAGGUAUAGAGCCCUCCAAGUAGGCUAUCAGCUCAGCGAAAGAUGUUGGUGUUCUCCAUUUGCUUCGGAGUUGCUUGUUUGGUUAGUAUGAUUUAGAUGUGUAUUGUUUGGUAUGGCGGGACUCUAUCCCGACCUUUAUGAUAUUUAUGUACUCUUUGAGGCUUGUAGACAUGUAUCGUAUACGUGAAAGAUUGUACGGCCUUGUCGGCCUAUGUUUUGAGAAAUAAAUUAUUAUGUUGGCCUAUUAGGACCGUAUGUCAUGUGUAUAGGAUGAUGUAAUAAGAAAGAUAUGUUACGUUGGUACUCGGUUGAGUAAGGUACCAGGUGCCCGUCGCGACCCAUCGGUUUAGGUCAUGACACUAACGUCAUCUUUUAUCUAUCAUGAUUACAUUAUUAUUCUAUUACUAGUGCAACAUUUCAUCUCUUCUAAAUGCUACUAGUCCUAGAAUCCUUUGAGUUCAUUCAGAUUAUACUGAGC
RNAcentral lists this long non-coding RNA (1575 nucleotides) under Nicotiana tabacum (common tobacco). RNAcentral describes it as "long non-coding RNA (NTAB_LNC016279)". The record is from RNAcentral. Lineage: Eukaryota; Viridiplantae; Streptophyta; Magnoliopsida; Solanales; Solanaceae.